AGCCUGAACGCUGGCGGCGUGGUUAAGACAUGCAAGUCGUACGGGUGUAGCAAUACACCAGUGGCGGACGGGUGAGUAAUGUAUCGCUAACGUACCCCAAGGUCUGGGAUAGCUGCCCGAAAGGGCAGGUAAUACCAGAUGACAUAUUCCUUUCGCAUGAUUGGAAUCUCAAAGGGCAACCGCCUUUGGAGCGGGCGAUAUCGUAUCAGCUAGUUGGUAGGGUAACGGCCUACCAAGGCGACGACGCGUAGCCGGACUGAGAGGUUGGCCGGCCACAUUGGGACUGAGACACUGCCCAGACUCCUACGGGGGGCUGCAGUAACGAAUCUUCCGCAAUGCACGCAAGUGUGACGGAGCGACGCCGCGUGUGGGACGAAGUCCUUGGGAUGUAAACCACUGUCGAGGGGUUAGAAAGUUCUGAUCAACCCCAGAGGAAGGCACGGCUAACUCUGCGCCAGCAGCCGC
Molecule: ribosomal RNA, 465 nt
Filed under: uncultured bacterium
Lineage: Bacteria
Description: SSU rRNA
Rfam family: Bacterial small subunit ribosomal RNA
Source: RNAcentral